This 253-nucleotide ribosomal RNA is filed under the name uncultured bacterium. Its description in RNAcentral is "partial 16S ribosomal RNA". It matches the Rfam family "Bacterial small subunit ribosomal RNA", at positions 524 to 776 of the family's 1533-position model. The record is from RNAcentral.
UACGUAGGCAGCAAGCGUUGUUCGGAGUUACUGGGCGUAAAGGGUGUGUAGGCGGUUCUUUAAGUUUGCUGUGAAAUCUCCCGGCUUAACCGGGAGGGUGCGGUGAAUACUGAGGGACUAGAGUACGGGAGAGGAAAGUGGAAUUCCCGGUGUAGCGGUGAAAUGCGCAGAUAUCGGGAGGAACACCAAUGGCGAAGGCAGCUCACUGGGACGGUACUGACGCUGAGACGCGAAAGCGUGGGGAGCAAACAGG